ACUAAUAACAAUAAAGUGCACAUCACCCCCGAGGCAGAUGUCCAACACAAUAUAUUCAAAUCUCUUAGUCACUGAGGAAACUGCAAGUUCAUGUACAGACAAGUAUUCUUUAACAUAAAUCAAUACCCUUCCCGUUUAGAUUUCCUAUCCAUUCUAAAUAGCUUGUAUCCAUCAAUAGCUACAUCUGAGUUAGAAACUUUCCCUGUAAGCCAAGAUUCUGUCAGGAUAAAGAUGUCAGGGGAGGCUUCAUUAAUCAUUAACAAAAUCCAAUUUAGGUAACAGACUCCUAAUAUUUAAGUGCAAUAUUCUUAAACCAUGAUGUAAUUGAAAGUCUUGUGGUGAUUUUAAAUCCGUUGUACUAAUAAUGGUAGGGGUAGACAAAGUCUCAGUUAGUUGAAUAUUGAUUUGUACAAGACUAUUUGCAGUGACACAUAAUAAUAAUGAAAUAAAAAAUAACGUUAAAAAAAAUACGUAGAAUGUGUAAAAUCAAGUAAAAUACAACAUUUUUAAAAGACGUGUAGCAGUGCAUAAGUGCGAAGCAAAGCGCAAAAAAAAAAAAAGUAGCAGGUAUAGCUAGUUAAAGGCUAAAGUGAAUAGAUAAGUUUUUAGUUUUCUCUUAAAAAAUAUUUAGUGAGCUGGCUUUCCUGAUCUCUAUAGGUUAUGUGUUGCAUAGCUUUGGGGCGUAAUUGACAAAGGCUGCAUCCCCGAUUUUCUUUCGACUGUUGCUGGGAACCUCCAAUAAACCAGCAGCAGAUGAUCGCAGUGUUCUUGAAGGCAAAUAGUUAAUUAGCAAUGUAGCUUGGUCCUAGCCCAUUAAGGGCUUUGUAUAUAAGGAGGAGGACCUUAAAAUCAAUUCUAAAUGUUACAGAAAGUGCAGAGCAGCUAAAACUGGACUAAUGUGCUCUGUCCUCUUGGUUCUGGUUAACAGCCGAGCUGCAGAAUUUUGAAUGAGCUGAAGUCUCUCAGUGGUUUUUUUUUUGGGAGGCCAGUGAAAAGUGCGUUACAGUAAUCGAGUCGGCUUGAAAUAAAGGCAUGAAUCAGUUUUUCAGCAUCUUUUUGAUUUAUGAAUGGCCGUACUUUAGCUAUGUUUCUAAGGUGGAAAAAUGAUGUUUUCAUCACAUUGUUAAUGUGGGACUUGAAGUUUAGAUCUUAAUCUAAGAUGACACCAAGACUUGUAACCUCAGACUUAAUCCAGGGAGUUGAUUUCCCCAGAUUAUUAAACAGAAUUUCUCUUUUUUGUUUUAGGGCUGACUAGUAAGACUUCAGUUUUGUCCUCGUUUAACUUUAAGAAAUUAUGGCUCAUCCAUUUAUUUAUUGCCAAAAGACAGGUAGUAAUGGAGUUCAUAGCUGCAGCAUCAUUUGGUUCCGCAGAGAUGUACAGUUGUGUGUCAUCCGCAUAACUAU
Molecule: long non-coding RNA, 1404 nt
Organism: Anguilla rostrata (American eel)
Lineage: Eukaryota; Metazoa; Chordata; Actinopteri; Anguilliformes; Anguillidae
Exons: 2
Source: RefSeq, a predicted model, not a curated record